RNAcentral lists this ribosomal RNA (700 nucleotides) under uncultured bacterium. RNAcentral's name for it is "bacterial SSU rRNA". It matches the Rfam family "Bacterial small subunit ribosomal RNA", at positions 62 to 741 of the family's 1533-position model. The record is from RNAcentral.
UCGAACGCGAAAGUCCCGCAAGGGAUCGGUAGAGUGGCAAACGGGUGAGUAACACGUGGGUGACCUGCCUUCGAGUGGGGGAUAACGUCCCGAAAGGGACGCUAAUACCGCAUGACAUCCUGCCUUUGAAGAGGCGGGGAUCAAAGCUGGGGAUCGCAAGACCUGGCGCUUGAAGAGGGGCCCGCGCCCGAUUAGCUAGUUGGUGGGGUAAUGGCCUACCAAGGCAACGAUCGGUAGCCGGCCUGAGAGGGCGGACGGCCACACUGGGACUGAGACACGGCCCAGACUCCUACGGGAGGCAGCAGUGGGGAAUUGUUCGCAAUGGGCGCAAGCCUGACGACGCAACGCCGCGUGGAGGAUGAAGAUCUUCGGGUCGUAAACUCCUUUCGAUCGAGACGAAUGGCCUUCGGGUGAACAGCCUGGAGGAAUGACGGUACCGAGAGAAGAAGCCCCGGCUAACUCCGUGCCAGCAGCCGCGGUAAUACGGGGGGGGCAAGCGUUGUUCGGAAUUACUGGGCGUAAAGGGCUCGUAGGUGGCCAACUAAGUCAGACGUGAAAUCCCUCGGCUUAACCGGGGAACUGCGUCUGAUACUGGAUGGCUGGAGUCCGGGAGAGGGAUGCGGAAUUCCAGGUGUAGCGGUGAAAUGCGUAGAUAUCUGGAGGAACACCGGUGGCGAAGGCGGCAUCCUGGACCGGCACU